UGCCCUGUGUGCUCUGCCUCCUGCGUGCUGCUUUCAAAUUGUAUACGGUCAGGAACAGGGGUGCUUUCCCUCCGUGUUGUACAGCUCUGAACAUGUUUAGUUUGCCUGCCAAAUAAGCCAUGAUGAGGUAUCCGCAUUUCCUCCACCUCCUCCACGAGCUCUGCUCCAUUUUCUCCUUUUGAAGCCUGCAAAAUUGGUAACAGUGUUGCAGGAAACAAACGGUUUCUGACUCAUCCAUCAUGAGACAUCUAACAGUUCAGUCAGAUGCAGAAGAAAUGAAAAGACCGUUCAUCCAUUACACAGAGCAAUGGGCACAAUGACAUUCACCAUGGCUUUUACCUGCUUU
Molecule: long non-coding RNA, 346 nt
Organism: Struthio camelus australis
Lineage: Eukaryota; Metazoa; Chordata; Aves; Struthioniformes; Struthionidae
Source: RefSeq, a predicted model, not a curated record